This 440-nucleotide ribosomal RNA is filed under the name uncultured bacterium. Its description in RNAcentral is "partial 16S ribosomal RNA". It matches the Rfam family "Bacterial small subunit ribosomal RNA", at positions 338 to 795 of the family's 1533-position model. The record is from RNAcentral.
CCUACGGGUGACUGCAGUGGGGGAUAUUGCACAAUGGGGGGAACCCUGAUGCAGCGACGCCGCGUGGGUGAAGAAGCGCCUCGGCGCGUAAAGCCCUGUCAGCAGGGAAGAAAAUGACGGUACCUGAAGAAGAAGCCCCGGCUAACUACGUGCCAGCAGCCGCGGGAAUACGUAGGGGGCAAGCGUUAUCCGGAUUUACUGGGUGUAAAGGGGGCGCAGACGGCGAUGCAAGCCAGGAGUGAAAGCCCGGGGCCCAACCCCGGGACUGCUCUUGGAACUGCGUGGCUGGAGUGCAGGAGGGGCAGGCGGAAUUCCUGGUGUAGCGGUGAAAUGCGUAGAUAUCAGGAGGAACACCGGUGGCGAAGGCGGCCUGCUGGACUGCAACUGACGUUGAGGCCCGAAAGCGUGGGGAGCAAACAGGAUUAGAUACCCCAGUAGUC